RNAcentral lists this transfer RNA (77 nucleotides) under Bacilli bacterium. RNAcentral's name for it is "tRNA-Met". It matches the Rfam family "tRNA". From Rfam's summary of the family: Transfer RNA (tRNA) molecules are approximately 80 nucleotides in length. Lineage: Bacteria; Bacillati; Bacillota; Bacilli. RNAcentral also lists the same sequence under 4 other names. The record is from RNAcentral.
GGCGGAGUAGCUUAGUUGGCUAGAGCGUUCGGUUCAUACCCGAAAGGUCGGGGGUUCAAGUCCCUCCUCCGCUACCA